GGGGAAUAUUGCACAAUGGGCGAAAGCCUGAUGCAGCAACGCCGCGUGAGUGAUGAAGGUCUUCGGAUUGUAAAGCUCUGUCUUUUGGGGACGAUAAUGACGGUACCAAAGGAGGAAGCCACGGCUAACUACGUGCCAGCAGCCGCGGUAAUACGUAGGUGGCGAGCGUUGUCCGGAUUUACUGGGCGUAAAGGGUGCGUAGGCGGAUGUUUAAGUGAGAUGUGAAAUACCCCGGGCUUAACUUGGGUGCUGCAUUUCAAACUGGAUAUCUAGAGUGCAGGAGAGGAGAAUGGAAUUCCUAGUGUAGCGGUGAAAUGCGUAGAGAUUAGGAAGAACACCAGUGGCGAAGGCGAUUCUCUGGACUGUAACUGACGCUGAGGCACGAAAGCGUGGGUAGCAAACAGGAUUAGAUACCCUGGUAGUCCACGCCGUAAACGAUGAGUACUAGGUGUAGGAGGUA
This 460-nucleotide ribosomal RNA is filed under the name uncultured bacterium. RNAcentral's name for it is "partial 16S ribosomal RNA". It matches the Rfam family "Bacterial small subunit ribosomal RNA", at positions 356 to 831 of the family's 1533-position model. The record is from RNAcentral.